UGGCUGAGAGGCUUGGUCAGCGGGUUGCCACGUUCAGCAUGGAGUCGACUUUCUGCACCUCCACGAACUUCUUCUCGAGGAAUUUUUGUGUGAUGUAAAAUCAUCGCUCUAUGUGCUUGGACUUCUGGUGAGACCUGGGCUGUUUAGCAAGGGCUAUGACGUCGUUGUUAUCACAGUGCAGUGCAAUGGUAUCUGAUGGCAUCACAUCUAGUUUUGCAAUAAACUUCUUGAA
RNAcentral lists this long non-coding RNA (232 nucleotides) under Elaeis guineensis (African oil palm). RNAcentral's name for it is "long non-coding RNA (EGUI_LNC079524)". The record is from RNAcentral. Lineage: Eukaryota; Viridiplantae; Streptophyta; Magnoliopsida; Arecales; Arecaceae.